RNAcentral lists this ribosomal RNA (253 nucleotides) under uncultured bacterium. RNAcentral describes it as "partial 16S ribosomal RNA". It matches the Rfam family "Bacterial small subunit ribosomal RNA", at positions 524 to 776 of the family's 1533-position model. The record is from RNAcentral.
AACGUAGGGGACAAACGUUAUCCGGAGUUACUGGGCGUAAAGGGCGUGUAGGCGGUUAGUUAAGUCUGGCGUGAAAGCUCUCGGCUAAACCGGGAGAGGGCGUUGGAUACUGGCUGACUAGAGGACGGUAGAGGCGUGUGGAAUUCCGGGUGUAGUGGUGAAAUGCGUAGAGAUCCGGAGGAACACCAGUGGCGAAGGCGACACGCUGGGCCGUACCUGACGCUAAAGCGCGACAGCAUGGGGAGCAAACGGG